Molecule: ribosomal RNA, 482 nt
Filed under: uncultured bacterium
Lineage: Bacteria
Description: partial 16S ribosomal RNA
Rfam family: Bacterial small subunit ribosomal RNA
Source: RNAcentral
AUUGAACGCUGGCGGCAUGCUUUACACAUGCAAGUCGAACGGUAACAGGCCGCCAGGUGCUGACGAGUGGCGCACGGGUGCGUAAUGCAUCGGAACGUGCCCAGUCGUGGGGGAUAACUACUCGAAAGAGUAGCUAAUACCGCAUACGAUCUAUGGAUGAAAGCGGGGGACCGUAAGGCCUCGCGCGAUUGGAGCGGCCGAUGUCAGAUUAGGUAGUUGGUGGGGUAAAGGCUCACCAAGCCAACGAUCUGUAGCUGGUCUGAGAGGACGACCAGCCACGCUGGGACUGAGACACGGCCCAGACUCCUACGGGAGGCAGCAGUGGGGAAUUUUGGACAAAGGGCGCAAGCCUGAUCCAGCAAUGCCGCGUGCAGGAAGAAGGCCUUCGGGUUGUAAACUGCUUUUGUACGGAACGAAACGGCUCUGGUUAAUACCCGGGGCUAAUGACGGUACCGUAAGAAUAAGCACCGGCUAACUACGUG